This 84-nucleotide non-coding RNA is filed under the name unclassified sequences. The record is from RNAcentral.
CAUCAUUAGCCACCGGGUUAAUGUGUAAGGUGUAUCCCUUUUCCAUUAGGUCUUAGAAGGAAAAGGAAUGCACCUUUUUAUGUU